This 457-nucleotide ribosomal RNA is filed under the name uncultured bacterium. RNAcentral describes it as "SSU rRNA". It matches the Rfam family "Bacterial small subunit ribosomal RNA", at positions 26 to 518 of the family's 1533-position model. The record is from RNAcentral.
AGAAUCAACGCUGGCGGCGUGCCUAACACAUGCAAGUCGAACGAGAAAGUGGAGCAAUCCAUGAGUAAAGUGGCGCACGGGUGAGUAACACGUGACUAACCUACCCUUGAGUGGGGAAUAACUGAGGGAAACCUCGGCUAAUACCGCAUAAUACCUACGGGUCAAAGGAGCAAUUCGCUUAAGGAGGGGGUCGCGGCAGAUUAGUUAGUUGGCGGGGUAAUGGCCCACCAAGACGGUGAUCUGUAUCCGGCCUGAGAGGGCGCACGGACACACUGGAACUGAAACACGGUCCAGACUCCUACGGGAGGCAGCAGUGGGAAUUUGCGCAAUGGGGGAAACCCUGACGCAGCAACGCCGCGUGGAGGAUGAAGACCCUUGGGUCGUAAACUCCUUUCGAUCGGGACGAUUAUGACGGUACCGGAAGAAGAAGCCCGGCUAACUUCGUGCCAGCAGCCGC